AUGGCUGGAUUCGCUGAUGCACUGAGGCCGGAUAAGUUUACCGGUGUGCACUUUAAGAGGUGGCAGGUGAAGACCACGCUCUGGCUUACUGCUCUGAAAGUUUUCCACGCUAGUGUUGGUGCUCCAGAGGGAAUGACCGACGAAGAUCGGAGAAAAUUUCAGGAAGCCAAUACUAUGUUUGUGGGAUGCAUUCUGAGUGUUCUUGCUGACCGUCUGUGUGAGUUUUCAUGA
RNAcentral lists this ribosomal RNA (231 nucleotides) under Triticum aestivum (bread wheat). RNAcentral's name for it is "partial small subunit ribosomal RNA". The record is from RNAcentral. Lineage: Eukaryota; Viridiplantae; Streptophyta; Magnoliopsida; Poales; Poaceae.